RNAcentral lists this long non-coding RNA (3703 nucleotides) under Sus scrofa (pig). Its description in RNAcentral is "lncRNA (ENSSSCG00000062935.1)". The record is from RNAcentral. Lineage: Eukaryota; Metazoa; Chordata; Mammalia; Artiodactyla; Suidae.
AGGAAAAUGCGUUUCUUAAAGAAUCUAUUGAGAAAACUGGUUCUAGUCAACAAGCACAUAAGGCUUCCAAUACCCUGAAGAUAAAUGGGAUGACAGAACAAUUACCAGCAGCCCGAAAUCAGAUGUGCACCCAGGAAGCCAGCUAUGACAGAGAGUUUGCUAAAGCGCUUAAGGUGUUCUACCAAAGCAUGAAUGUGGCAAGAGGGCAGUUUCUCAAAUUAAGACAUUAUAAACCUCCUGUAAGUAACCAGAAUCCUGGAUCGAAAGGAAUUUCUUUCCACUAAAUGUAGAUAUUUGAUAGAACUGCAUUUCACGAACUUGGGGAGGAGCAUAUGUUUAAGUAGAAGAGCAGGUCAAGGCCUGGAACAGUGUGAGUCUACACAUCUCAGGCCUCCAUCCGUUGCUCCCAUUUUUCACUUUAGUAUUCCUCUGGCUGGUUCAGGCAGCCAUGCCAUUGCAGGAUUGAUAUUCAUUAACUUUGAGGUUUUUUUUUGUUUGUUAACUUUUAAAAAAUUAUAGCUGAUUUACAAUGUUCUCAAUUUCUGAUGCACAGCAAAGUGACCCAGUUAUACAAAUAUAUACAUUCUUUUUCUCAUAUUAUCUUCUAUCAUGUUCCAUCACAAGUGAUUAGAUAUAGUUCUCUGUGCUAUACAGCAGGAACUCAUUGCUUAUCUACUCCAAAUGCAAUACUUUGCACCUAUUAACCCCAAACUCCCAGUCCAUCCCAUUUGCUCCCCGUAGGCAACCCAAUUCCAUUCUCUAUGUCCAUUAAUUUCUACUCUGUAGAUAGCUUCAUUUAUGCAAUAUUUUAGAAUCUAUAUAAGUGAUAUCAUAUGGUGUUUAUCUUUCUCUUUCCAACUUUGCUUGGUAUGAGAAUCUCUAGUUCCGUCCAUGUUGCUGCAAAUAUCAUUAUUUUAUUUUUUAUGACUGAGUAGUAUUCCAUUGUGUACUUGUAUCACUUCUUCUCAAUCCAUUCAUCUGUCAAUGGACACUGAGGUUGUUUCCAUGUCUUGGCUAUUGUGAACAGUGCUGCAAUGAACAUAAGGGAGCAUGUAUAUUUUUCAAUGAAAGUUUUGUCCAGAUAUAUGUCCAGGAGUGGGAUUGCUGGAUUAUACGGUAGUUCUAGAUUUAAUUUUCUGAGGUACCUCUAUACUGUUCCCCAUAGUGGUUGUACCAAUUAACAUUCCCACCAACAGUGUAGGAGGGUUCCCUUUUCUUCACACCCUCUCAGAACUGACUUAUUAGUGACAGUCAUUCUGACUGGUGUGAGAUGGUACCUCAUUGUAGUUCUGAUUUGCAUUUCUCUAAUAAUUAGUGAUGUUGAGCACUUCUUUAUAUGCCUGUUGUCCAUCUGUACGUCUUUGGUGAAAUACCUAUUUAGGUGUUCUGCCCAUUUUUCAUUGGGGUUUAUUUUUUUGUUGUUGUUGUUGAGUUGUGUGUAUUGUUUGUAUAUUUUGGAGAUUAAGCCCUUGUUGAUUAAUAGUUUGCAGCUAUUUUCUCCCAUUCUGUAGGUUGUCUUUUUAUUUUAAUGGCUUCCUUUGCUGUGCAAAAGCUUGUAAUAUGAUUAGGUGCCAUUGGUUUGUUUUUAUUUCUAUUGCUUUGGGAGGCUGACCUAAGAGAACAGUUGUAUAGUAGAUAUCAGAAAAUGUUUUGCCUAUGUUCUCUUCCAGGGGUUUUAUGGUGUCUUGUCUUAUGUUUAAGUCUUUAAGCUAAUUUGAGUUUAUUUUUGUGCAUGGUGUGAGGGUGUGUUCUAGUUUCAUUGCUUUACAUGUAGCUAUCCAGUUUUCCCAGCACCACCUGCUAAAGAGACUAUCUUUUCCCCAUUUUAUAUUCUUGCCUCCUUUUGUCAAAGAUUAAUUGACCAUAGAUGUCUGGGUUUCUUUCUUUCUUCUUUAUUGUUCCAUUGGUCUGUCUGUAUGUUUUUGUACCAGUACCACACUGUCUUAAUUACUAUAGCUUUGUAACACUGUCUGAACUCUGGGAGAGUGCCGCCUGCUUGGUUUUUACCCCUCAGGAUUGCUUUGGCAAUUUGGGGUCUUUUAUGGUUCCAUAUAUAGUUUUGGAUUGUUUGUUAUAGUUCUGUGAAAAAUGUCAUGGGUGAUUUGAUAGGGAUUGCAUUGAAUCUGUAGAUUGCUUUGGGUAGGGUGGCCAUUUUAAUGAUAUUAAUUCUUCCAUCUAGGAGCAUGGAAUAGCUUUCCAUUUCUUUGAAUCCUCUUUUAUUUCUUUGAGGAAUGUUUUAUAGUUCUCAGCAUAUAAGUCUUUCACCAUAAUCAGCUUUACUCCUAGGUAUUUACUUUUUGGGGUGUGAUUUUAAAAGGUAUUGUAUUUUUAUAUUCCUUUUCUAAUAUUUCAUAGUUAGUAUACAGAAAUGCAACUGAUUUCUGAGUGUUAAUCUUGUAUCCUGCUACUUUGCUGAAUUCAUUGAUCACUGUGAGUAGUUUUUGUAUGGAGUCCUUUACCUCUUCUCUUCCAAUAAAUACCUUUUAUUUCUCCUGUUUAUUGGACUACUUGUGGUUAAGACUUCCAAUACUAUGUUGAAUAAAAAUGGUAAGAGUGGGCAUCUUGUCUUAUUCCAGAUUUUAGUGGGAAGGCUUUCAACUUUUCUCCAUUGAGUAUUAUAUUGGCUGUGGGUUUGUCAUAAAUGGCUUUGAUUAUUUAUGUUAAGGAAUGUUCCUUCUAUACCCACUUUGGUAAGAGUUUUUAUCAUGAAUGGAUGCUGGAUUUUGUCAAAUGCUUUUUCUGCAUCUAUUGAGAUGAUCAUGUGGUUUUUGACUUUUCUUUUGUUAAAAUGAUGUAUGACCCUGAUUGAUUUGCGUAUGUUGAAUCAUCCUUGUGAACUUGGGGUGGAUUCCACUUGGUCAUGGUGUAUGAUCUUUUUUAUAUGUUGUUGGAUUUGGUUGGCUACAUUUUGUUGAAAAUUUUUACAUCUAUAUUCAUCAAAGAUUUUGGCGUAUAAUUUUCUUUCUUGGUAGUAUCUUUGGUUUUGGUAUUAGGGUGGUGGCUUUCUAGAAUGUGUUUGGGAGUAUUCCUUCUUCAACCUUUUGAAAAAGUUUAAGAAGGGUAUAAGUUCUUCUUUAUAUGUUUGACAGAAUUUGCCUGUGAAGCCAUCUGGUCCAGGAUUUUUGUUUGUAGGGAGUGUUUUUAUUACAUAUUCAACUUCAUUUCUAGUGAUCGGCCUAUUCCGUUAAUCUAUCUCUUCUUGACGCAGUUUUGGUGGGCUAUAUGUCACUAGAAAGUUGUCCACUUCUUCUAAGUUGUCAAUUGUUAUAAUUGUUCAUACUAAUCUCUUUUGGUUUUUGUAUUGCUGCAGUAUCCAUUGAGAUUUUUUUUCUUAACUCAGUGAAUUUUAUUACAUUCAUAGUUGUACAGUGAUCAUCAUGACCCAGUUUCACAGCACUUCCAUUCCAAACCUCCAGCCCAUUUCUCCCAUCCCCAACCUGUCUCCUUCGGUAACUGUAAGUUUUUCAAAGUCUGUGAGUCAGUAUCUGUUCUACAAAGAUGUUCAUUGUAUUUAUUUUUUAGAUUCCACAUAUAGGUAUAGCAUAUGACACUGGUGUCUAACUUCACUUAGCAUGAUAAUUUCUAUGUCCAUUCAUGUUGUUGCAAAUGAUAUUUCAAUCCUUUUUAAUGGCUAACAUUCUGCUGUGUAUAUGUACUACAUCUUCUUUAUCCACUCCUCUGUUGAUAGACAUUUAGGUUGUUU